Molecule: transfer RNA, 73 nt
Filed under: Salmo salar (Atlantic salmon)
Lineage: Eukaryota; Metazoa; Chordata; Actinopteri; Salmoniformes; Salmonidae
Also listed under: 1 other name
Rfam family: tRNA
About the family: Transfer RNA (tRNA) molecules are approximately 80 nucleotides in length. Their secondary structure includes four short double-helical elements and three loops (D, anti-codon, and T loops).
Source: Rfam by way of RNAcentral
GCGUCUGUGGCUCAGUUGGUAGAGCAUCGUGUUUGCAACGCCAGGGUUGUGGGUUCGAUUCCCACGGGGGGCC